UACGGGAGGCAGCAGUGGGGAAUAUUGCACAAUGGGCGCAAGCCUGAUGCAGCCAUGCCGCGUGUAUGAAAAAGGCCUUCGGGUUGUAAAGUACUUUCAGUCGUGAGGAAGGUGUUAAGGUUAAUAACCUUAGCAAUUGACGUUAGCGACAGAAGAAGCACCGGCUAACUCCGUGCCAGCAGCCGCGGUAAUACGGAGGGUGCGAGCGUUAAUCAGAAUUACUGGGCGUAAAGGGCACGCAGGCGGUUAAUUAAGUUGGAUGUGAAAUCCCCGGGCUUAACCUGGGAAUGGCAUUCAAGACUGGUUAGCUAGAGUCUUGUAGAGGGGGUAGAAUUCCAUGUGUAGCGGUGAAAUGCGUAGAGAUGUGGAGGAAUACCGGUGGCGAAGGCGGCCCCUGGACAAAGACUGACGCUCAUGUGCGAAAGCGUGGGGAGCGAAAC
Molecule: ribosomal RNA, 440 nt
Filed under: uncultured bacterium
Lineage: Bacteria
Description: bacterial SSU rRNA
Rfam family: Bacterial small subunit ribosomal RNA
Source: RNAcentral